This 504-nucleotide ribosomal RNA is filed under the name uncultured bacterium. RNAcentral's name for it is "partial 16S ribosomal RNA". It matches the Rfam family "Bacterial small subunit ribosomal RNA", at positions 30 to 523 of the family's 1533-position model. The record is from RNAcentral.
AUUGAACGCUGGCGGCAGGCCUAACACAUGCAAGUCGAGCGGUAGCACAGAGAGCUUGCUCUCGGGUGACGAGCGGCGGACGGGUGAGUAAUGUCUGGGAAACUGCCUGAUGGAGGUGGAUAACUACUGGAAACGGUAGCUAAUACCGCAUAACGUCGCAAGACCAAAGAGGGGGACCUUCGGGCCUCUUGCCAUCAGAUGUGCCCAGAUGGGAUUAGCUAGUAGGUGGGGUAAUGGCUCACCUAGGCGACGAUCCCUAGCUGGUCUGAGAGGACGACCAGCCACACUGGAACUGAGACACGGUCCAGACUCCUACGGGAGGCAGCAGUGGGGAAUAUUGCACAAUGGGCGCAAGCCUGAUGCAGCCAUGCCGCGUGUGUGAAGAAGGCCUUCGGGUUGUAAAGCACUUUCAGCGAGGAGGAAGGCGUUAAGGUUAAUAACCUUAGCGAUUGACGUUACUCGCAGAAGAAGCACCGGCUAACUCCGUGCCAGCCGCCGCAGUAA